GUAGGGCUACUUAGGUUCUGGUUGGGUGGUUCUUCCUUUUUGAGUGCCUGCUCUGAUAGUGCUGAAUGUAUGGGGAGGAAUAUUCAGACUGGCUACAGCUCCCCAAGUGUCUGUUUGUCUUUCCUUUGAAACUACAACGUGGUGGAUUCAGCAACAUGAGUUCUUCAGGUGCAAAAGAAAAUCCGACAUCUUCGCUCACAAGGAGAGAUGCCUGGACAGGGUUUACAGUCCAUCAACGCCGUAAGAGCAGGGGUGAUGUAAGACAAGGCGACAGCACUCAAGCCCAAAACCUGACGGAUGGACUCUCUUGGAAGGAAGGGAUUCUUCUUUCCAAUUCCUUCAGUUUGGGGACCUGACGUGGUCCCUUCCAAACUGAGGAUACCUGCUUAAGGUGGUUGCAUCUUACAUAGCAGGCCCAUCUCAGAAGUGAGAUUUGAGGAAGAAUAUUAAGUCCUUCAGAAGACCGUGGAGCUGGAGGAUGUCAUGGGGAAUCCCUUCCAUCUCUGUAGGAUAAACUCUGUUUCUUCUGAAGCUGGAAUCUUACAAGUUUCAUGGUGGCUCUAUACAGAAAGUGGAGCACUUGGAAAAUAGCCUUUCCUUUUCUCCGAUCCUCUUCCCCCUUUCUUCCUAAAGUAGCAAACCUUUUGCAGAAGAAUGGUAUGACAGGUCUUCAAGAACCAAGUCUUUAUAUAGUGGGAGUUUCUAUCAAAAAAUACCAAAGAUGACUUUGUACUGAAACCUUGUGAUAGCUUGUCUUCCUUCAGGGAAAAGAAGGCAAAAUAAAAGCAUCUAGUCUCAUGGAUGCAGAGUACCUUGGGUGUUCUUGAUUUUAGUUCCUGACUGCUCUGAAUACGCUGUUUCUUCCACAGUGAAAUUCUUUUGAAGUUUUUUUCCUUGGUUCUGAAUCAGAGGAGCAUAGCUCAUCAGAAUGUUUUUUUCAUUAGCUGAUUUGAUCAAUUAAUCUUCUUUUUUUCAAUGUAAGCCACAAAAGCUUGAUGUUUUUUUUUCUUGUUUCAUGUGUAGUAUUAUUUCUGAAGAUGUUAUAUUGUUGUUUGUAGAUUACACCAUUUUGCUAAGACUGUUUGAAGAAGGUGUCUCCCUCCCCCCCUUUGAAACUUUGAACCAAAGCCUGAUGUAUUUGAAAUUCAUUGAUCCUGUCUUUGUUUCUUAGUACUGGUGCUGUCAGUUGCCUUAAUUAUACCAUGUGACCUGCUCAGUCUGUGUUGCCUGAUUAGCCCCAGAUAUAUGAUUGAUAACACUAGUAACAAGGUGGUGGUGGGAAAACCAGGAUCUACAGAUCCCAGCUUUAGCUGGAAGAACGUACUCUAGCCCAUGUACUUUAGUACAUGGCUCAUAGCUAUCAGGAGUACAUUUAUAGCUUUCAUUUGUAAAAAUUGCACUAUAUAUCACAUUGCUGUAUUAAACAUAAAAUAAAUAACUUUGGAGGCUCUCUGCUGUUGGAACACUUAACACCUUCCUCCUCUUUGUAUUUCUAGAAAAAUUUGUCUUUGACUUUUGACUGCAAAUGCAUGGAUAACUUUCUAUGCCUGUUAAUGGAACACUAUCUCUGCUUUGUUGCUCCCAUGACAAUGACAUUUUUAUAUAAAUGGCACAUGUACUGUACAUGUGACUUCUUAAACUUGCCACUUGAAGUAUAAACUCUUGGUCAAAAUGAAGUCUUUGACACAUGCAAAUUGUAGUUCGUCUUGUCUAUAUAACCUUUGAUCAUUACUGCAUUACCUGAGUUUCAUUCUCAUAAACCAAUAAAAGAGCCAUGUUACUUAG
Molecule: long non-coding RNA, 1785 nt
Organism: Anas platyrhynchos (mallard)
Lineage: Eukaryota; Metazoa; Chordata; Aves; Anseriformes; Anatidae
Source: RefSeq, a predicted model, not a curated record